Molecule: long non-coding RNA, 2529 nt
Organism: Malurus melanocephalus (red-backed fairy wren)
Lineage: Eukaryota; Metazoa; Chordata; Aves; Passeriformes; Maluridae
Exons: 3
Source: RefSeq, a predicted model, not a curated record
UGAUGGUGAGGGGGUGUGUAUAUAUGAGUAUAGAUAAUGAUAUAUCUGUAUUAGUGCCUUACAUAUUUCAGUGGCUUCUGGUUGCAAUGUCAAUAUUGGCUUUCUUCCUUCUACAGGAAUAAACACUGGAGAAGCCACAGAAAAUGAAACAGAAAGAUACUGAGCUUCAUUCAGUGGAUUUGCUUCAUUUAAGAUUUACUGUGGGAAAGAGGAUGGAAAAUGUUGCUCAGCAGAAAGGAGUGGGGAGUUUGAAGCCAUACAAGCAGCAUGAGGCAAAACUGGAGAAAGCAAGGACAGUGCUGUCCUAUGUGAUGGCAGCCUGUAAAGGCUGGAUUAGACACACAACAGCCACAUCACUGAGCUGAGCCAUGUGAGUACAAAGAGGGUGAAGGAGUGUUUGAACAGGGACAGCAAAUUGGUGCAACAGAGCAGCUCUAAAUCCUCAAAGGCAAGAUUACUCUGGAGAUGAAGUGACCAAAGCAGGGGCUGCUGCUGAGGGUGGAAAACCACAGGACCUGCAGAGGAAAAGGCAGAACUUGUGUUUGAAUGGCCAUAUUCAUGUUAACAAUUCAGUUACUUAUCUCUUAUGAAGUCACUUUAGAGCCACCUGUAAGUCCUUUGAAUAUGAUUGACAAUUACUGUGACUAUUUGCUUUUCCUUCUUGGGGAUUGUGAAAUUUUAAUCAAAAUUACCUCAGUAUAAUAAGUUCGCAAAAGCUGAAUUCCUAAUGGUUUUUCCCCAACACUUUUACAAUCUGAUCAAUCUUUAAUAAUGAGACUGAGCUUGUAAAAAAAAAACAAAACAAUUUUCUACUCAGACAAAGCAAUUUCAUCAGAAAUGAACCAUCUUAAGUGAAUACAUUGAUUUAGAUUAAAUUUGAUGGGAAAAUAUCAAAAUGAAUAAUUUUACCUUAUUUCAUUCUGGCAAUGUUGAAAUAUUUUAUAUUGGCAUUUUAUUCAUUUAAUUUCAACUCCUAUGGUAUUUACAUUAUUUUGAUGUUCCUAUGCUAUUGCAUAUAAGAGUUUCAGUGAUCCAAACUCAGAAUGUUUGUUAUGUGCACUGAAAAUAAAUGUCAAAAUGUUGGAAUUUCCCGUGGGAUCAGAAUUCUGCCUUCUAUUUACAAUAAAAAGUGUAAAGAAAUACAGUACUCCAGAGUAAGUCUGACCUUAGUCCUUCUCAGCUCUGGAAUGCCAGGCAAUCUAAUAUAUGGAUCAGGAUUGUGUAAUAAGAUUUCUGAAUGAUUUAUGCCAAUCACAUUUUCAUUAUUUCCUCACCAGUACUGGCAGUGGUAAUUCUUUGUACACUAAUGCAUCUUUCCWAUCCAGCUAGAUAGAACUUCUGUGAAAUAAACUGCCACAAGUCUCCUCGGAGCAUGGCUUCCAGCUUUAAGGAUUGUUCAGAUAUUUAAUCCUUUUUUUUUCUGAAUUAGGUCCAGUUCUGCUCAAUGUGUGAUUUAAAUCCCCAGAAUUAUCAUUGAUACUUUUUUUACAAAAAGUUCUGCAGCAUUGAUGAGUUUCAAUCCAUGCAGAGAUAAUGGCAACUGUCCUCCUGUGCWUGCUCAUAAAAUUGAUCUGAGAGAGAUCAAUGAGAUGGUGGGACUUUCCUUAAAACACCAGAAUGAUGCUUAAAAAGAUGAGAAUGGGAUUUUUUUUUUUUUUAAAUUAAACACAUAACCAAUCUUCAUGUAAAGCAAGAUGGCUUCAGCUUGUGCUGAGGAAGGAAUUAACACAUCAGGUGAAAAAUUCACCUCCACAAAUGGUGUUCCUGAAGGAAGGGGAAACCAAGUUUGAAAGAUACCUGUAUAAAAAAUGGAUUGGUUUGAUACUUUCCUGAAACAAUUACAACUGCUAUUUCCAYGCACUGCAUAAACUAUUUCAUCUUCUUGUCUACUGGAAAAAAAAACUUAUACAAACCCUGUGCAGGACCCACUCUGAAAUUUAAUAUAUGGGGGAACAUUGUGAUUAAAAAAUUUGAAUUUGGCAGUCUUAAUUCAGGUCAGAUUGCCCUGUCCUGAAGAUGUAAGUUUUGAUCUCUUAAUGAGUUAUCUCCUCUCAAAACACUGACAMAGAGCUCAAAUAACAACAUUGAGUUUUCUGCAGUGUCUUUAGCCCCACUGGAGUCUCUGAUCCCCCUGUUCUCCUGCUUAUAGGAUAAACGUGGGAACUCAGUGCAAUAAAUGUAAGGAGGCGUACACAAAGGAGAGAUGGUAACCAGAGCUUCCCUAACRGGCUGUUAUACUCUCUAAACCUAGAGCAACACACAGAGAAAAUUAUUUUCUUAUCAACAGAAUCUGCUGGGGAUCUGAAAAACAGGCUUUUUGUAUUUAGCUUCUCAAGUGCAGACUUAAGAUGUGUUUGCUGAUGCCUGCUGAAAAUUUCCAGUGCRCCUUGUGCAUCCCACUCCACCAAAAAUACUGCAUGGAACCUGUUUGUAGAAACCCUGAGGGUGGAAAUGCUGAUUACAGCCUCUGAAAUUCUGUCAUAAACAAUGCAAAAUAUUAGCAUAAAUUAUAUCAGCAUUUUUUUUUGU